AGAGUUUGAUCCUGGCUCAGGACGAACGCUGGCGGCGUGCCUAAUACAUGCAAGUCGAGCGAUGAUUAAAGAUAGCUUGCUAUUUUUAUGAAGAGCGGCGAACGGGUGAGUAACGCGUGGGAAAUCUGCCGAGUAGCGGGGGACAACGUUUGGAAACGAACGCUAAUACCGCAUAACAAUGAGAAUCGCAUGAUUCUUAUUUAAAAGAAGCAAUUGCUUCACUACUUGAUGAUCCCGCGUUGUAUUAGCUAGUUGGUAGUGUAAAGGACUACCAAGGCGAUGAUACAUAGCCGACCUGAGAGGGUGAUCGGCCACACUGGGACUGAGACACGGCCCAGACUCCUACGGGAGGCAGCAGUAGGGAAUCUUCGGCAAUGGGGGCAACCCUGACCGAGCAACGCCGCGUGAGUGAAGAAGGUUUUCGGAUCGUAAAACUCUGUUGUUAGAGAAGAACGUUAAGUAGAGUGGAAAAUUACUUAAGUGACGGUAUCUAACCAGAAAGGGACGGCUAACUACGUGCCAGCAGCCGCGGUAAUACGUAGGUCCCAAGCGUUGUCCGGAUUUAUUGGGCGUAAAGCGAGCGCAGGUGGUUUCUUAAGUCUGAUGUAAAAGGCAGUGGCUCAACCAUUGUGUGCAUUGGAAACUGGGAGACUUGAGUGCAGGAGAGGAGAGUGGAAUUCCAUGUGUAGCGGUGAAAUGCGUAGAUAUAUGGAGGAACACCGGAGGCGAAAGCGGCUCUCUGGCC
RNAcentral lists this ribosomal RNA (745 nucleotides) under uncultured Lactococcus sp. RNAcentral describes it as "bacterial SSU rRNA". It matches the Rfam family "Bacterial small subunit ribosomal RNA", at positions 8 to 734 of the family's 1533-position model. The record is from RNAcentral. Lineage: Bacteria; Bacillati; Bacillota; Bacilli; Lactobacillales; Streptococcaceae.